AGUUUAUUAAGUUGGAACUGUCGAGGGCUUGGGAACCCUCAGACAGUUCGAGAGCUUCGCAAAAUUGUGACGCAAGAAGGCCCCACCCUUCUGUUCGUCAUGGAAACAAAAAUCAAGGGCAAGAGAGUGGAGGUUUUGAAGACUACAUUAGGUUUCUCUGGAUGUUUUGUCGUCGAUAGCGACGGGCUUAGUGGUGGUAUCGGUCUUUUCUGGUCUAAAGAUGUUGAUGUCUCUUUGAUAAACUAUAGCUUGUCUCACAUUGAUGUAAACGUCAAGAAAGAUAAUAAGAGUUGGCGAUUUACUGGUUUUUAUGGAGAGCCAAGGGUGAAUCGACACCACAGUUGGCAUUUCUUGCGUACUUUGGCUGAAUUACAGCAUGAAGCGUGGGUCUGUAUGGGGGAUUUCAAUGAAACGUUGCAUGCCGAAGAACAUUUUAGUGUCAACGCUCGUCUGGAGGGCCAGAUGCGAGCAUUCCAUGAAGCAAUGGCAGAUUGCGCACUCCAAGAUUUGGGGUAG
RNAcentral lists this ribosomal RNA (516 nucleotides) under Triticum aestivum (bread wheat). RNAcentral's name for it is "partial small subunit ribosomal RNA". The record is from RNAcentral. Lineage: Eukaryota; Viridiplantae; Streptophyta; Magnoliopsida; Poales; Poaceae.